This 495-nucleotide ribosomal RNA is filed under the name uncultured bacterium. Its description in RNAcentral is "partial 16S ribosomal RNA". It matches the Rfam family "Bacterial small subunit ribosomal RNA", at positions 30 to 507 of the family's 1533-position model. The record is from RNAcentral.
UGAACGCUGGCGGCGUGCCUAAUACAUGCAAGUCGAGCGAACGGACGAGAAGCUUGCUUCUCUGCUGUUAGCGGCGGACGGGUGAGUAACACGUGGAUAGCCUACCUAUAAGACUGGGAUAACUUCGGGAAACCGGAGCUAAUACCGGAUAAUAUUUUGAACCGCAUGGUUCAAAAGUGAAAGACGGUCUUGCUGUCACUUAUAGAUGGAUCCGCGCUGCAUUAGCUAGUUGGUAAGGUAACGGCUUACCAAGGCAACGAUGCAUAGCCGACCUGAGAGGGUGAUCGGCCACACUGGAACUGAGACACGGUCCAGACUCCUACGGGAGGCAGCAGUAGGGAAUCUUCCGCAAUGGGCGAAAGCCUGACGGAGCAACGCCGCGUGAGUGAUGAAGGUCUUCGGAUCGUAAAACUCUGUUAUUAGGGGAGAACAUAUGUGUAAGUAACUGUGCACAUCUUGACGGUACCUAAUCAGAAAGCCACGGCUAACUACGUG